GGCUUCGUGGUCGAAUGGUAAAAACACUUGCCUUUCAGCCUGGAGUCCCGGGUUCAAUCCCCGGACGAGGAGCUA
Molecule: transfer RNA, 75 nt
Filed under: Rhamnusium bicolor
Lineage: Eukaryota; Metazoa; Arthropoda; Insecta; Coleoptera; Cerambycidae
Description: tRNA-OTHER
Source: RNAcentral